AAAAACAUUUGGGAGGAAAGAAACCCUGGAGUUUUGAGCCUGGGUGUCAAGCAGGGGGAAGGGGGGAGGCCACCAAUAUGGUACCUGCUUUCGACGGAGCUCAUCAUUUUAGUGCGAAUAUUUGACCUCGCUUUGAUUCAGAAUUUCGAAAUUUGUUUGCCUUCGUUUCCUGGGCAAGGCAAAACCCUCCUCAUUCUUCAAUUUCCAUGAACACUACGGAAAAUCAAGAUUUGGAGCUUUCAUCUGGUUAUCAGCAAGAGCUAUUAACAAUGAGUGAUUCAGGUUCCUCCACAUUAAGUUAUGAGUCCCCAUCAAGCGAUGAGGAGCCAGAUGGGCGUGCUCUGGUGGGUGAUGGGAUUGGUUUUCCAGAGUCGAUCAAUUAUUUUGCACCGAGGACCUUACAGGCAGAUCAGGACCCCGCAGCUUUAAUUCCAGUCUAUCUCAUAAGGAGGCAUGUCGGUGACUUAAUUGGCAAUGUAGAUCGCCUUUUGCUGCGGGAUUACCAUAAUCUCAAGUAUGAGCUGAAGGUGAUUGCUUUUCAUAGGGGCAUCACUGGCCGGUUCUACAUUCGAUUCAAAAUAUGGUCAGACUUCUAGAUGGAACUCGGGUUUGCCUCCACAGAUUUAUUCGCCAACCACUAGAGGAAAUGACCGUUGAGGGAAUCUAUUUGGCAGAGGGCAGUGACAUAGUUGAACCUAGCCUAGAUCAACACGAGCAAGUGUUGGACGAUGAUUUAGAUCCAGAGGAUGAUGAUUAUCCAGAGAAUGAUUAUCCAAAUCCAGAUCCAGAUGACGGAUGGUUUGAAGAUGAUGGAAGACGCGACCAUGAACUCUUGAGCUUUUAUCAAGAUGAGAUGGGAGUUGUGCUAUUGAUACCGGGACUGAAUAAUCCAAUUCAAAGACAAUUGGGUUGGGUCUUUAGGCGCACUUCCACUGCCCUUGAAAGUCUCAAUUCACAAAUCUGUUUUUGUGCGGCUCGAGCAAGGUUGCCAAGUGAGUACAGAAAGAUAUUCAAAGAUGGUGAUGGAGAUGGAGAUGAUUGUUUUGUGCCCGAAGAAGGUAAUGACGAGGAGUGGCAUGCAUUUGUAGAGAUGUUAAGUGAGAUUGAGCUCCACGCUACCAGGAUUGACGGAGAUUGAAAUUCAAGUUAGAGAAGUUCGGUUCGGAUGUACAAAUUAGUUGGGCCAUAGUUUUUUUGUUGUUGUCUCUGCUGGUAAAUUCAAAGAGGGACAAGUCUGGAGGGGAGUGUGCUGCUGAGGAAGGUAUCCCCAUUGAUGAGUCCAAUCCAAGUACAAAACCAAUAGCCGCUAAUAUGAUCAUUGAUCAUUGACUUCCAAGCUCAAAUGUCUGUGACUUUGUGGGAUUUUUUGGCUUCUAGUGUUUUUGCUUUAACUCGAGUUGUAGCUACUGUCUUUGUAUUUCCUAGUUGGUUGUAGUUUUCGUACUUCUUGUCCAAGUAUGUUGUUGGAUAAAAUAUCAUACCUUCAUGGCCGAAUAA
RNA transcript from Prunus dulcis (almond), 1497 nucleotides. RefSeq lists it as uncharacterized. The transcript has 8 exons. The record is from RefSeq and is a predicted model, not a curated record. NCBI's taxonomy places the organism in Eukaryota, Viridiplantae, Streptophyta, Magnoliopsida, Rosales, Rosaceae.